Long non-coding RNA from Macrosteles quadrilineatus (aster leafhopper), 492 nucleotides. RefSeq lists it as uncharacterized. NCBI's taxonomy places the organism in Eukaryota, Metazoa, Arthropoda, Insecta, Hemiptera, Cicadellidae. The transcript has 3 exons. The record is from RefSeq and is a predicted model, not a curated record.
CACCAAUCUCAAGGCCAAACAUACGACCGGGUUGUCGUGGACUUGGGGCGUACAGAGUUCACGAUCGGUCUCUCCUACGUUGCUCUCUCUCGCUGCAAGACGUUGGAUGGAUUGGCAAUCAAUCCACCAUUUAUCAGAAAGCGACUGGAUGAUUUGCAUCAUAAGAAUUCUUUGAAGGCCUUUGGCGCGCACAGCUGGAGGACUCUAUAAGUGCCAACUUGACGAAAUAUCCAGCAGUGCGAAAUGGAGUUAUUGUUCCUUGGGAGGAAAGGUUGAAUUGCUUCCUGGAAAAUCUUUCUGUGGACGAGUGGGGUGGCACCGAAACCAUUGUGACCAUCGCUCAAUUGCACAAUAUAACACUUACAACAUAUUUCGAAGACGGUGGUGAUGGUUUUCGGUGUCAAAGGAUCAUCUCAGGGGGGGAGAGUGAUAGGGAAAUUGCUAUAGUGUACCGGCUCGCAGCUGUUAGGGGAUGUGCUGGCCCUGUGAGUC